GACCUUGAGUAUGGGCCAUCUACUUUUUUUAUAGGAUCUUGAUUAUAGAAUAGAAUAGAAUCUACUUUUUUGCUUUUUUAUUUUUUUGCAGCUGGAAAAACAAGGUACAACUUAUAUAGCUGAUUAGCCUUUUUUGCUAGGGUCUAGGUCAUCUCUACCCAGUUUCUGUCUACUUUCACACAUAGACAAAAUGAGAAGGAUCUUGAAAUUUACCUAAUAGCAUCAAUAAUUAGACGAAUGUAAGCUAGAGCUAAGUUCGGGUUGUUGAUUAGAUGAAUCACUUCUAGGCUGUCUGUCUUUACAAUCACUUGGUUCCACUUCUCUUUUGCUUGAUGUAGUCCACUCUCCAUAGCUCUGCACUUUUCUUAUAGCUUAUCACUAGCCACAAUUUUUGUGGCUCCAGAAUCCUGAAGUUGUUGUCCUUAGGUUAUAUACCAUCCUACAGCUGCAGUAGGAGGUCUCUUUGUUUUUUUUUUUUUCAACUUCCAAGAAGAAUCAAUCUGGAUUUGGAGAAUAGAAGAUGAUAGCAGUUGACCUGUUCUCCAGAUCCAACACUUUUGUUUUGGAGGAGAGAUCUUCUGUUAUGUCCUGUCUUCAUUGCUAACUGUUACAAUCCAGCGAUGAAGAAGCUCUUGUGUUUCCUGCAUUAUCAGACUAGGAUUUGGGUGGAUCCUUUUGAAUCGAAUAUAUGGUUUCUGUGUAACCAAAUAGCCCGUAGUGUUACCACAAAUUCAGUCGCUCUUUAUUCCAUCUUGCCAUCCUAUUGUAAGAGAACAGACAUAAUGCAUGUUACCCAAUCUCUAAUAUUUUGGUUUCUAUGUGGAGCUGUCCUCAGGCCUAGAGAGCUAGCAGCCUAGAUCCUCGAGGAGAAUUCACAAUCUCUGAAUAGAUGCUCUUGUGUUUCUUGGUGUUCUCCACAUAGGGGACAAACCUGCUCUACUAAGAUGCCUUUUUUUUAGGUUCUCAGCAGUUGGAAUUGCUUUGUGAGUAAUUUUCCACAUGAAAAUUUUCCAAUUAGGAAGUAAUUUUCCUAGCCAAACUUUCUUCCAAAACUAGGUUAAAUUACCCUUGGUGUCUGAGUUCCUUUCUUAGAGCCAAUAUCCUGAUGACUUCACUGAAUAUGUUGCUGAUCACUAUUACAUUUUUGACCAAAUGCAACGGCCUAAUAAAGGCUAAUACAACGGUAUUCUAAUUGCCGUUGCAAUAGAGUAGGCUAUUGCCACGGAUUUAACACUAAUGUUCUUAGAGGUAUAGCUAUUGCAACGACUGUAAAGAACCGUUGCAAUAGCCUAGCUAUUUUAAAAAAAAAUGAGAGCUAUUGCAACGGUAUGUUGUAUCAUGAAAAAAUUUAGAAUGAAGCGCGCAUUUUCCCUCUAUUUUUUUCACCAAAUAUUUAGAACAACACGUUUCUUUAAUUUGCUUCCCUCUAUUCACAAUUCUCACGUACAGUACCUUUCCUCUUUUUCUCCAUUUUCCCCAUUCUCAAUUUCUCAUCACCAUUUUCCCAUUUUCUCCAUUUCUCCAUCUUCUUCAUCCAUUUGGUUAUCUUCUUCAUCCCGCAAUCUCCUAAAUCGUUCUAACCUUCUAUGAUUUUUCUGCUAGAUUAUAGAGUUCCGUUUGAUUAUUGCUCGGAUAAGUUAUUGGUCGGAGCUUGCAAUUGAUGGGUGGAAUACGAAUUGGGUUGAUCUUGCUUAAAGUUGGUGGGUCCACUACUUGUGCUAUCUUCUUCUUCAUUUUUUCAUGGCUAGUUUUCUAUUCUUUUUAAUCUCUUUCUGAUUUUAGCGAUUUUUGAUGAUUUUUGGUAAUUCCCUUUUGUUUUGGUUUGUUAGGGUUUUAGGAAUUUGAAUUUGAUAUAACUGUGUUGUGUUGUAAUUUGGGAUUAUUGGUUUAUGUUGUUUAUUGGAAAGGUAAGAAAUUUGUUUUACUAGAGUGCUCUCAACUAUGAUUGAUGGGUGGAAUACGAAUACUCGAAUUACAGCUUUUUUCGUGGUGUCGAGUUGGGGGUGAUAAUGUGAAUGUAAAGCAUGGUUAUUGUGUUUUAGAGUACCCAUAUUUGCCUUAGGAAAAAGACGUGGAUGUCAAGAUAAGUGAGAAAUGUGUGUUGCUGAAUUUGCUAUCAACUACUGGUAUGUAUGCUGGGUGGAAUGUUCAGCUGGUUUCGUGGUGUUAAUUUUGUAGAUUUAUGUACUGGCUACUGAGAAUAUAAGAUAGAUUGUACUGGAUUGUCAAGCUUCAAGCCUUCAAGCUUUGUUCUUGAGUGUUUCUUCCUUUUCGGGGAUGACUAGGUAAGGACGUAAUGGGUGGUUCAAUUUGGUUUUGUAUUAGGUGAUGAAUUGUAAUUCAUCAAGUGUUCAUUGGAUAUUGUUUGUUGCUGAAUGCUGAGCUUUUUGUCUGAUGGGUAGUUUUUGGCCAGUGUACAUACUCCCACAAUUCGCUCCUUUUGUAUUAUAUCAUGCAUUUGGAGGUCUGGUCCUAAGUAUGUUGUUUUAACGUAGAUCAUGAAAUUUUGGUUUUGCUACUAUUUAGUUGAAUUUUGUACUUUUGAUCGUUGAUUUAUGAUUUUAAGAUCUGACACAUUUAGUUUAUUGGUUGGAUCGUAUGAUUGUAGUGAUUUUGUUUGUAGAUUUCAUAUGUGUUGUUAUGUUAAUACAUGACCUAAGUUUGUUGUGAUGGAAGAGUAUCGAUAUUUUGUAUGUUUUCAAUAUUAGAAGUAUGAUAUUUGAACAAACUAGGAAGUUGAACCAUAAUUUAUCAUAAUGUAAUAGCCAAUCAAGUUCUAAUGUGACAUGUGAUCAUGAUGCAUUAAUAAUCUAUAGCAUCUAGCUGAUUCAAAGCUAAAUUUAAGACUGAUCAGACUUUUUUUUCCACUAAUAUAGUGGUAAAGGAGGUUUUUGUUUUAAGGAACAAUGGACUUACAAUGCAAAAAUGUUCUGGACUACAAGAUCCAUAGCAAGUGUCAAAAGUACAAUGUUAGAUCUUGCGUGGUUGGAAGAUUGAGUUUCAAAUUUACUAUCAUUUGGAUCCAAUCUUAUUUAUUGACGAUGUUUUCUUCGGUUUAUCAAACUACCUCUUUUACUUUGUAAAUGUUUGUAUUUCAGAAUAUGUUGAAGGAUACAUUUGCUGAUUUUACUAAGCAGAAAAUUCUGUCUCAGUCAUUAAAUGUGGUCUCGAGCUUCUUGGUGUGUGAGCAUAACUUUGAAUACUAACUUUUGUUUUUUUAAUCUAGUGCAAGUCUGUCAUUGAAGUUCGUAAUGGCCUAACUUUCCUUGACCUUAUAGUUAAGCAAAUUGAGAGCCUUAACAGCAAGUAUGGAUCCAAAGUGCCUUUGGUUCUGAUGAACUCAUUCAACACACAUGAUGAUACACUUAAGAUAAAGUACCCUUUUUUUUUUAUGUUCCGUGCUGUUAGACUUUUAUCUCGUGGAGCAUCUUUUCAAGACUUCAAACUCAUUGCAUACAGAUUGUUGAAAAAUACGCCAAUUCAAAUGUUGAGAUUCACACAUUUAAUCAGAGUCAAUACCCUCGGCUGGUUGUUGAAGAUUUCUCGACAUUUCCAUGCAAAGGUCAAUCCGGCAAGGAUGGAUGUUUAAGAUGUAUAAAAACUACAGAAGCACCCAGCUGGCAGUCUGAGCAGAAACAGCAGCAGAAGCAGUAGCUUGGGCAGCAGAAACACAGC
This is a long non-coding RNA of Chenopodium quinoa (quinoa), 3675 nucleotides long. RefSeq lists it as uncharacterized. The record is from RefSeq and is a predicted model, not a curated record. NCBI's taxonomy places the organism in Eukaryota, Viridiplantae, Streptophyta, Magnoliopsida, Caryophyllales, Amaranthaceae. The transcript is spliced from 5 exons.